GACGAACGCUGGCGGCGUGCUUAACACAUGCAAGUCGAACGGAAAGGCCCUGCUUUUGUGGGGUGCUCGAGUGGCGAACGGGUGAGUAACACGUGAGUAACCUGCCCUUGACUUUGGGAUAACUUCAGGAAACUGGGGCUAAUACCGGAUAGGAGCUCCUGCUGCAUGGUGGGGGUUGGAAAGUUUCGGCGGUUGGGGAUGGACUCGCGGCUUAUCAGCUUGUUGGUGGGGUAGUGGCUUACCAAGGCUUUGACGGGUAGCCGGCCUGAGAGGGUGACCGGCCACUUUGGUACGGAGCGCCGGCCCAGCCUCCUCGGGGGGGGAGAGGGGGGAAAUAUGGCACGAGGGGCGGAGCCCGGAGGCAGAAGCGCCGCGGGGGGGAGGAGGGCCUGGGGUUGUAACCCCUAUUCCCCCUGGGAAGAACGGGGGGUGACGUGAAGGGAAAAAGAAGCCCCGGCUAACUACGGG
Molecule: ribosomal RNA, 468 nt
Filed under: uncultured bacterium
Lineage: Bacteria
Description: partial 16S ribosomal RNA
Rfam family: Bacterial small subunit ribosomal RNA
Source: RNAcentral